Molecule: ribosomal RNA, 426 nt
Filed under: uncultured bacterium
Lineage: Bacteria
Description: partial 16S ribosomal RNA
Rfam family: Bacterial small subunit ribosomal RNA
Source: RNAcentral
GUGAGGAAUUUUCCGCAAUGGGCGAAAGCCUGACGGAGCAAUGCCGCGUGAAGGAUGAAGGCCUAUGGGUUGUAAACUUCUUUUCUCAGAAAAGAAUUAUGACGGUAUCUGAGGAAUAAGCAUCGGCUAACUCUGUGCCAGCAGCCGCGGUAAGACAGAGGAUGCAAGCGUUAUCCGGAAUGGUUGGGCGUAAAGCGUCUGUAGGUUGUUUAAAAAGUAUUCUGUCAAAGAUUAGGGCUUAACCCUAGAUAGGCAGAAUAAACUUUUAAGCUAGAGUUUGGUAGAGGCAGAGGGAAUUCCCGGUGGAGCGGUGAAAUGCGUAGAUAUCGGGAGGAACACCAAAGGCGAAGGCACUCUGCUGGGCCAAUACUAACACUGAGAGACGAAAGCGAGGGGAGCAAAUGGGAUUAGAUACCCCGGUAGUCC